RNAcentral lists this ribosomal RNA (497 nucleotides) under uncultured bacterium. RNAcentral describes it as "partial 16S ribosomal RNA". It matches the Rfam family "Bacterial small subunit ribosomal RNA", at positions 28 to 507 of the family's 1533-position model. The record is from RNAcentral.
GAUGAACGCUGGCGGCGUGCCUAAUACAUGCAAGUCGAGCGAACGGACGAGAAGCUUGCUUCUCUGAUGUUAGCGGCGGACGGGUGAGUAACACGUGGAUAACCUACCUAUAAGACUGGGAUAACUUCGGGAAACCGUAGCUAAUACCGGAUAAUAUUUUGAACCGCAUGGUUCAAAAGUGAAAGACGGUCUUGCUGUCACUUAUAGAUGGAUCCGCGCUGCAUUAGCUAGUUGGUAAGGUAACGGCUUACCAAGGCAACGAUGCAUAGCCGACCUGAGAGGGUGAUCGGCCACACUGGAACAGAGACACGGUCCAGACUCCUACGGGAGGCCGCAGUAGGGAAUCUUCCGCAAAGGGCGAAAGCCUGACGGAGCAACGCCGCGUGAGUGAUGAAGGUCUUCGGAUCGUAAAACUCUGUUAUUAGGGAAGAACAUAUGUGUAAGUAACUGUGCACAUCUUGACGGUACCUAAUCAGAAAGCCACGGCUAACUACGUG